Molecule: long non-coding RNA, 606 nt
Organism: Dreissena polymorpha
Lineage: Eukaryota; Metazoa; Mollusca; Bivalvia; Myida; Dreissenidae
Exons: 4
Source: RefSeq, a predicted model, not a curated record
UCGAAAACCUAAGAGAUGAGAACAUUGCUUCGAUAUAUCGUCUAAGUAAGGGCGGAAUAGAGCGAUUGUUGGUUUUGAUCGGGGAAGACAUAGCACCAACUUGCCGGCGAGCUCAUCCCUUUCAUUCCGUCGCUUAGAUUUUGGCAUAUUGCAUAUUGCCAAGGGAGAUGUUUACUGAGGAUUCCAUGCCAUUAAUGUGCAGGCUGUUGCUGACGCCAGCAUGAGCAAUAUCUGAGCACCAAUGAUGAGGGUCAUCUGCUGGGAGAUAGUGGGUAUCCGUUAAGGACUAACCUGAUGACCCCUUAACCUCAUCCCUCCCAUGCUGCGGAACAGGCCUACAAUGACCAUCUAUGUAGAGGAUAUCUGCAUGCCACUGGUGGAUGUUGGCCUUUCAAGUCCAAUAAGUGCUGUGAAAUAUCAACUGUGUACAUGCCCCUGCAUAACCUGUGUCUGGAUUCAAACGUUCCACUGAUAGAGGAAUUGGUUGGAAAUGUGAUGGAACCGGAAGUUAUGAACAACACACCAGUACAUCGAGCAGCAUGUGAUAAGAGGCAGCAGCUGAUCAAACUGUUUCAUAAAAUGUGUUAAAAACUUAUAGUUAUACAU